Molecule: ribosomal RNA, 293 nt
Filed under: uncultured Acidobacteriota bacterium
Lineage: Bacteria; Pseudomonadati; Acidobacteriota
Description: uncultured Acidobacteria bacterium partial 16S ribosomal RNA
Source: RNAcentral
GGACUACUCGGGUAUCUAAUCCCGUUUGCUCCCCUGGCUUUCGCGCUGUCAGCGUCAGUGUCGGCCCAGCAACCCGUCUUCACCUCAGGUGUUCCUCUUGAUAUCUACGCAUUUCACCGCUACACCAAGAAUUCCGAUUGCCCCUUCCGCACUCUAGCAAAGCAGUAUCAUCUGACCGUUCCGGGUUAAGCCCGGAGAUUUCACAGAUGACUUGAAUUGCCGCCUACGCGCCCUUUACGCCCAGUAAAUCCGAACAACGCUUGGUCCCUACGUAUUACCGCGGCUGCUGGCAC